GCCAAUCUCAGUUCGGAUUGUAGGCUGCAACUCGCCUACAUGAAGUUGGAAUCGCUAGUAAUCGCGAAUCAGAAUGUCGCGGUGAAUACGUUCCCCGGGGCCUUGUACACACCGCCCGUCAAGCCAUGGGAGCCGGGGGCGCCUGAAGUCCGGGACCGCGAGGACCGGCCUAGGGCAAACUGGUAACUGGGGCUAAGUCGUAACAAGGUAGC
This 212-nucleotide ribosomal RNA is filed under the name uncultured bacterium. RNAcentral describes it as "partial 16S ribosomal RNA". It matches the Rfam family "Bacterial small subunit ribosomal RNA", at positions 1281 to 1500 of the family's 1533-position model. The record is from RNAcentral.